AAAUAUGUUUGAGGUCCUCCAUGAGUUUCCUCGGCUAACUACCCCAGGCAUGAUUGCACAGGACUUUCACAUUUUACAUCAAGAUGCUGCUCCAAAACUGUUUGAAAAAUGGCUCCCUUGGUAUACUGACAGGAUCUUGCUUUUUGCGAAGCGAGAAGCAAAGCUUCCAUGUACAGCUGAAGAAAUGACAGAAGAUGCAAAGGGAAAUCUUGCACUAAAGCUGUUACCUG
Long non-coding RNA from Cyprinus carpio (common carp), 230 nucleotides. RefSeq lists it as uncharacterized. The transcript has 3 exons. The record is from RefSeq and is a predicted model, not a curated record. Lineage: Eukaryota; Metazoa; Chordata; Actinopteri; Cypriniformes; Cyprinidae.